This 453-nucleotide ribosomal RNA is filed under the name uncultured bacterium. Its description in RNAcentral is "bacterial SSU rRNA". It matches the Rfam family "Bacterial small subunit ribosomal RNA", at positions 340 to 786 of the family's 1533-position model. The record is from RNAcentral.
UACGGGAGGCAGCAGUGGGGAAUAUUGCACAAUGGGCGCAAGCCUGAUGCAGCCAUGCCGCGUGUAUGAAGAAGGCCUUCGGGUUGUAAAGUACUUUCAGUCGUGAGGAGGUGUUAAGGUUAAUAACCUUAGCAAUUGACGUUAGCGACAGAAGAAGCACCGGCUAACUCCGUGCCAGCAGCCGCGGUAAUACGGAGGGUGCGAGCGUUAAUCGGAAUUACUGGGCGUAAAGGGCACGCAGGCGGUUAAUUAAGUUGGAUGUGAAAUCCCCGGGCUUAACCUGGGAAUGGCAUUCAAGACUGGUUAGCUAGAGUCUUGUAGAGGGGGUAGAAUUCCGAUGUGUAGCGGUGAAAUGCGUAGAGAUGUGGAGGAAUACCGGUGGCGAAGGCGGCCCCUGGGACAAAGACUGACGCUCAUGUGCGAAAGCGUGGGGAGCAAACAGGAUUAGAUACC